AGAAAGAGUUGGGUAGAUGUGGAGAUAAGA
This 30-nucleotide non-coding RNA is filed under the name Cricetulus griseus (Chinese hamster). Lineage: Eukaryota; Metazoa; Chordata; Mammalia; Rodentia; Cricetidae. The record is from RNAcentral.